AACGAACACUGGCGGCAGGCUUAACACAUGCAAGUCGAGCGCCCCGCAAGGGGAGCGGCAGACGGGUGAGUAACGCGUGGGAAUCUACCCAUCUCUACGGAACAACUCCGGGAAACUGGAGCUAAUACCGUAUACGUCCGCAAGGAGAAAGAUUUAUCGGAGAUGGAUGAGCCCGCGUUGGAUUAGCUAGUUGGUGGGGUAAAGGCCUACCAAGGCGACGAUCCAUAGCUGGUCUGAGAGGAUGAUCAGCCACACUGGGACUGAGACACGGCCCAGACUCCUACGGGAGGCAGCAGUGGGGAAUAUUGGACAAUGGGCGCAAGCCUGAUCCAGCCAUGCCGCGUGAGUGAUGAAGGCCCUAGGGUUGUAAAGCUCUUUCAGCUGGGAAGAUAAUGACGGUACCAGCAGAAGAAGCCCCGGCUAACUCCGUGCCAGCCGCCGCAGUAA
RNAcentral lists this ribosomal RNA (447 nucleotides) under uncultured bacterium. RNAcentral's name for it is "partial 16S ribosomal RNA". It matches the Rfam family "Bacterial small subunit ribosomal RNA", at positions 29 to 523 of the family's 1533-position model. The record is from RNAcentral.